RNAcentral lists this ribosomal RNA (426 nucleotides) under uncultured bacterium. RNAcentral describes it as "partial 16S ribosomal RNA". It matches the Rfam family "Bacterial small subunit ribosomal RNA", at positions 354 to 796 of the family's 1533-position model. The record is from RNAcentral.
GUGAGGAAUUUUCCGCAAUGGGCGAAAGCCUGACGGAGCAAUGCCGCGUGAAGGAUGAAGGCCUACGGGUUGUAAACUUCUUUUCUCAGAAAAGAAUUAUGACGGUAUCUGAGGAAUAAGCAUCGGCUAACUCUGUGCCAGCAGCCGCGGUAAGACAGAGGAUGCAAGCGUUAUCCGGAAUGAUUGGGCGUAAAGCGUCUGUAGGUUGUUUAAAAAGUAUUCUGUCAAAGAUUAGGGCUUAACCCUAGAUAGGCAGAAUAAACUUUUAAGCUAGAGUUUGGUAGAGGCAGAGGGAAUUCCCGGUGGAGCGGUGAAAUGCGUAGAUAUCGGGAGGAACACCAAAGGCGAAGGCACUCUGCUGGGCCAAUACUAACACUGAGAGACGAAAGCGAGGGGAGCAAAUGGGAUUAGAUACCCGGGUAGUCC